RNAcentral lists this ribosomal RNA (435 nucleotides) under uncultured bacterium. RNAcentral describes it as "partial 16S ribosomal RNA". It matches the Rfam family "Bacterial small subunit ribosomal RNA", at positions 29 to 507 of the family's 1533-position model. The record is from RNAcentral.
AGCGAACGCUGGCGGCAGGCUUAACACAUGCAAGUCGAGCGGGCAUCUACGGAUGUCUGCGGCUGACGGGUGACUAACACGGGGGAAGGUAGCCUUCGGUUCGGAACAACUCUUUGAAAGUGGAGCUAGUACCGGAAACGCCCCUAUUGGGGCAGGUUUCCUGCCGGAGGAACCGCGCGAGCCUGAUUACCUAGGUGGUUGGGUAACGGCCUACCAAGGCGACGAGCUGUAGCUGGGCAGUGAGGAUCAGCCGCCACUCUGGAACUGGGACGCGGCGCGGACUCCUACGGAAGGCAGCAGAGGGUAAUAUUGGCCAAUGGGGUCAGGCCUGAUCCAGCCAUGCCGCGUGAGUCAUGAAGGCCUGAGGGAUGAAAAGCACGUUUGUACGCGACGAUAAUGACGGUACCGAAAGAAUAAGCCCCGGCUAACUUCGUG